GCGUGUAUUCAUGAAAGGUAGAUUAAAUUAAAGUGUAGAAAGUGUAGCUGAGAAAGAGCAGAAUAGCAGAUCUAAUCAGGAUCUAAUUGCUCCCUUUUUAAACCUUCGUAAUGCCUAUUAUUUUACUUUGAUUCCCCGAAGUCGCAAAUACGGAAUCAGAAUGCACAGUCAAAUAAUUUACGCAAUUGUCAAAGAUCGUCACACUGCACUGUUAAUUCCGGUAGCGAGUGAAAAAAACGAAGUUCAUGACAGCAUAUGAUAUAUAUAUGGUUUUGCAGGUUAGGUCGCGUAGAACGAGCGAUACCCGUGGUUCAGCCGGUUUGAUGAAUGACAAACUGUUUCAGCAAAUUAGGAAUCGCUGACAGCACCGACGGUAUCGAGCACUUUUAUUUCAACCAAGCGGAACGAAGCUAAAUGAUUGCUCUGUGCACGAGAUAAUACAAAAUAAUCAGUUGUAAUUGUUUUCCUACGUCGUUGAUACGGCUAUAUUCAGGUUAGUCGAAUUUUGCAAUUCGCAAGUUACCACGUAUUAGUAACGUGUAUUAGGAUGUUUUAUUUUUUAAGGAAUGAACUAUCAUUCUGCACGUGGCACAAUGCAAUCCUGAUUAAAUCUGUCGACGUUACAUAAUUAUAAUUUUAUGAGCAAACUUAGAGGUUAUAUCGCAGAAAAGAAAAAAUAGGUUUACUUCGUUUACCUUUUUAUAUUCUUAUUUGUAAUCGAAUUAACGAAAUGACGAUAUAUAAUUAUAAUAUCUUUUUUUUUUUACUAAUUGAGCUUAUAUUACUCUGCCGUGGUUGUGGGUUACAUAAUCGUGGAUCGUGCGAUUCACUUUUGGAAAAUCUAUUUUUACACAAUCAAAAAUAAACUUGAACUUAACUUUAAUAGAGCUGCUUAGUGAGUGAUGGUACCGGGAAUACGUGACCUCUUUACCGGAAUGUAUGCUGUGUUUAUUUUGUAAAUUUCAAAGUUUUGGCUCGGGUAUAUUACUUACUGUUGUACAUUAUUUAAUUUGAAAAUGUCGAGAUAUAAUUCCUACUAAUCCAUAUUCUUGACGCGUUAAAUUAUAGAAUACGUAUCCUGUAAAAGAUUUUUUUACUUCGGCAGUAAUUGAAUAGUUGUUUGUUCCCAUUGCAUUUUAAAUUCAUAAUUUUGCAUAUUUCAUUGAGCUUUAAUGAUUCUGUACUAGUUUAAAAGUGAGUGAGUGAAUUUUUGAUAGAGUUGCCCUA
Long non-coding RNA from Temnothorax curvispinosus, 1227 nucleotides. RefSeq lists it as uncharacterized. The transcript is spliced from 2 exons. The record is from RefSeq and is a predicted model, not a curated record. Lineage: Eukaryota; Metazoa; Arthropoda; Insecta; Hymenoptera; Formicidae.